This 363-nucleotide transfer RNA is filed under the name uncultured Microcystis sp. RNAcentral's name for it is "partial miscellaneous RNA". The stretch from base 135 to 208 matches the Rfam family "tRNA". Lineage: Bacteria; Bacillati; Cyanobacteriota; Cyanophyceae; Chroococcales; Microcystaceae. The record is from RNAcentral.
AAGGGAGACCUAAUUCAGGUAUGGGACGAAAAAAAAGUAGUCGCUACCAAGAAUCAAUCCCAAAAGGUCGGAGCGAGGCGAAAUUGGCUUUCAAACUAGGUUCUGGGUUCACACAAGACCUGAAUCAGGAACAAGGGCUAUUAGCUCAGGUGGUUAGAGCGCACCCCUGAUAAGGGUGAGGUCCCUGGUUCGAGUCCAGGAUGGCCCACCUGCACAGGUGGCAAAAACAAGAGAAGCUCCGAAUCAGCACCUUAUCUUACUUAUAUAGUAAGAGAGAAUGCUGGCUCUGAGUUCAGAGUCCAGAGGAACCUUGAAAACUGCAUAGAGCUAGGUGAAAAAGCCAAAAAAGAAGACCGCAUGCAA